CGUAGAAACCCUCUAGGGUGCGUGUGACACGCGUGACCUGUCAAGAAAAUUACAGAAUUUUUGGAAUCCUUUCCGUCAAGAAAACUUGAAGUCGGGAAGGCAGGCGUCAACCAAGUGAGUGAUGCCAUGGUUCGAGGCGGAAAUGCGUG
Molecule: long non-coding RNA, 149 nt
Organism: Cucurbita moschata (crookneck pumpkin)
Lineage: Eukaryota; Viridiplantae; Streptophyta; Magnoliopsida; Cucurbitales; Cucurbitaceae
Exons: 3
Source: RefSeq, a predicted model, not a curated record